CCUACGGGGGGCAGCAGUGAGGAAUAUUGGUCAAUGGGCGAGAGCCUGAACCAGCCAAGUCGCGUGAAGGAUGACGGCCCUACGGGUUGUAAACUUCUUUUGUCAGGGAGCAAUUGGGUCCACGCGUGGGCUUAGCGAGAGUACCUGAAGAAAAAGCAUCGGCUAACCCCGUGCCAGCACCGGCGGUAAUACGGGGGAUGCGAGCGUAAUCCGGAUUUAUUGGGUUAAAAGGGUGCGUAGGCGGAAUAUCAAGUCAGCGGGAAAAAUUCGGGGCUAAACCCCGCCGUGCCGUUGAAACUGAUGUUCUUGAGUGGGCGAGAGGUAGGCGGAAUGCGUGGUGUAGCGGUGAAAUGCUUAGAGAUCAUACAGAACACCGAUUGCGAAGGCAGCUUACCAAGCUACUUCUGACGUUGAGGCAUGAAAGCGUGGGGAGCAAACAGGAUUAGAUACCCCGGUAGUC
This 460-nucleotide ribosomal RNA is filed under the name uncultured bacterium. Its description in RNAcentral is "partial 16S ribosomal RNA". It matches the Rfam family "Bacterial small subunit ribosomal RNA", at positions 338 to 795 of the family's 1533-position model. The record is from RNAcentral.